AGAAUCAACGCUGGCGGCGUGCCUAACACAUGCAAGUCGAACGAGAAAGUGGUAGCAAUACCAUGAGUAAAGUGGCGCACGGGUGAGUAACACGUGACUAACCUACCCUGGAGUGGGGGAUAACUGAGGGAAACCUUAGCUAAUACCGCAUAAUACCCACGGGUCAAAGGAGCAAUUCGCUCUGGGAGGGGGUCGCGGCCGAUUAGUUAGUUGGCGGGGUAAUGGCCCACCAAGACUAUGAUCGGUA
RNAcentral lists this ribosomal RNA (247 nucleotides) under uncultured bacterium. Its description in RNAcentral is "partial small subunit ribosomal RNA". It matches the Rfam family "Bacterial small subunit ribosomal RNA", at positions 26 to 285 of the family's 1533-position model. The record is from RNAcentral.